Molecule: long non-coding RNA, 883 nt
Filed under: Cricetulus griseus (Chinese hamster)
Lineage: Eukaryota; Metazoa; Chordata; Mammalia; Rodentia; Cricetidae
Description: lncRNA (ENSCGRG00015039040.1)
Source: RNAcentral
AGAGACUGAGGGAACGGGUUGGAUUGAAAACCGAGAACAUCUUGGCAGGAUGUGGCUUUUCAGGGGGUAAAAAGAUGGAUUUCAUCAUUUCUUUAUCAAUCAAGUCAAACACAGCUGUUCUUAAAUGGUCAGUGGGAGUCUCUCCUGGAAAUCUGUCAUCAUCUAUUUCCGAAAACUCAGAAGGUGGUAUAACAUUCUGAAGUGCCUUGGGUUUCCUUGAUGGAGCCAUGAUGAACCAUGUUGCCAUCACAGUGGCCAAAAACCUGUUUAUCAUCUCAGCGAAUAGGAACAAGCUGAACAGACUUCUUGCUUUCAGUAUGGGUGCCCUGGUGAUGAACAGAGUUAAGAAACACAAUCUAGAACUAAGAAUGAAGGGACCUAGAUCAGUGGCAGUCCAAGAUAAAAGGGCAUACUGAAGAAAAGAAGCUGGCAUAGGCUAGACAUGGUACUCCACUCACUUGAGAGGUAGAAGAGGAAGACCAGGUGUUCAAGGACAACUUUGUGUAUAUAUUGAAAGGCGAUGGAAGAGCCUGACUAUCAAUCAACUAAGCACCAACCAAACAUGGGUUCAAAUCUUGUGAAUAACCCUUUCAAGCUGAUGGCUUACUGUUCACAUUUCUUGUGUUUUCACAAGGUACAAUUGUUUUAGUUUUAGUUUUCCUUGGACAACGCUAACUGGAUUUAGUGGAUUGUAUAUACAAAGAAGGAAGAGGAGGAGGAGAAAUAAGGAAACAUGAAGUUGAAUGAGGGAUGUGUUGGAGGUUACAGGAGGAGUUGAAAGAGGAAACUGAUAUGCUUACUGACAUAUUUCAUUUUGUAUACAUCUAUGAAGCCAUCAAAGAAUAUGAUGAAGAAACGUUCCAUGUUUUCAGUUUUAUCACUG